Molecule: ribosomal RNA, 396 nt
Filed under: uncultured bacterium
Lineage: Bacteria
Description: partial 16S ribosomal RNA
Rfam family: Bacterial small subunit ribosomal RNA
Source: RNAcentral
AUACGUAGGGGGCGAGCGUUGUCCGGAAUGAUUGGGCGUAAAGGGCGCGUAGGCGGCGCGGUAAGUCUGGAGUGAAAGUCCUGCUUUCAAGGUGGGAAUUGCUUUGGAUACUGCCGCGCUUGAGUGCAGGAGAGGUUAUCGGAAUUCCCGGUGUAGCGGUGAAAUGCGUAGAGAUCGGGAGGAACACCAGUGGCGAAGGCGGGUAACUGGACUGCAACUGACGCUGAGGCGCGAAAGUGUGGGGAGCAAACAGGAUUAGAUACCCUGGUAGUCCACACUGUAAACGAUGAAUGCUAGGUGUAGGGGGUAUCGACCCCUUCUGUGCCGCAGUCAACACAAUAAGCAUUCCGCCUGGGGAGUACGGCCGCAAGGUUGAAACUCAAAUGAAUUGACGGG